UGCUAAAGCGGUGGCUGGAGCGGGGGUAAUACGGGGGUGGAGAGCGUUAAUCGGAAUUCAUAGGCGGAAAGGGCACGCAGGCGGUUGGAUAAGUUAGAUGUGAAAGCCCCGGGCUCAACCUGGGAAUUGCAUUUAAAACUGUCCAGCUAGAGUCUUGUAGAGGGGGGUAGAAUUCCAGGUGUAGCGGUGAAAUGCGUAGAGAUCUGGAGGAAUACCGGUGGCGAAGGCGGCCCCCUGGACAAAGACUGACGCUCAGGUGCGAAAGCGUGGGGAGCAAACAGGAUUAGAUACCCCUGUAGUC
This 301-nucleotide ribosomal RNA is filed under the name uncultured Lactobacillus sp. Its description in RNAcentral is "bacterial SSU rRNA". It matches the Rfam family "Bacterial small subunit ribosomal RNA", at positions 495 to 795 of the family's 1533-position model. Lineage: Bacteria; Bacillati; Bacillota; Bacilli; Lactobacillales; Lactobacillaceae. The record is from RNAcentral.